Molecule: ribosomal RNA, 270 nt
Filed under: uncultured bacterium
Lineage: Bacteria
Description: partial 16S ribosomal RNA
Rfam family: Bacterial small subunit ribosomal RNA
Source: RNAcentral
GACGAACGCUGGCGGCGCGCUUAAUACAUGCAAGUCGAGCGAGAACCAGGGCUUCGGCCCUGGGGACAGCGGCGAACGGGUGAGUAACACGUGGGUAAUCAACCCCCGACACCGGGAUAGCCCAGGGAAACUUGGAUUAAUACCGGAUGCCCCAUCUGGCUUUCGAGCCGGCUGGAAAAGGGUAGCUUCGGCCUCUGGUCGGGGACGAGCCCGCGGCGGAUUAGCUUGUUGGUAUGGGUAACGGCCUACCAAGGCGACGAUCCGUAGCUG